RNAcentral lists this RNase P RNA (514 nucleotides) under Spirochaetaceae bacterium. RNAcentral describes it as "RNase P RNA component class A". It matches the Rfam family "Bacterial RNase P class A". Rfam says of the family: Ribonuclease P (RNase P) is a ubiquitous endoribonuclease, found in archaea, bacteria and eukarya as well as chloroplasts and mitochondria. Its best characterised activity is the generation of mature 5'-ends of tRNAs by cleaving the 5'-leader elements of precursor-tRNAs. Lineage: Bacteria; Pseudomonadati; Spirochaetota; Spirochaetia; Spirochaetales; Spirochaetaceae. The record is from RNAcentral.
UUGGCGGGCCGCGCCGUCGCUCCGCCCGCAAUGAGCGGGCGGGGAGGAAAGUCCGGGCUCACGAGAGCGCAGCGCCGGGUAACUCCCGGGCGUUCCCGAGUCGCAAGACGCGGGAGCGACAGAUAGCGCCACAGAAAACAUACAGCCUGGGGUUCCAAGGUCGGAGGUGAGUAGUCAGCGAGCGAAAGCGAGCGAACUAUGAACCGAAGGCCCGCAGGGCCUUCGGCGAGGGUGAAAAGGCGGGGUAAGAGCCCACCGCAUCGCCGGCGACGGCGAUGGUACGGCAAGCCUCGCUGCGAGCAAGGCCGAGCAGCGAAGGGCGGCUCGCCCUGCGUCUCGCUCCAUCGGAGCUCGACUUCGCGGUUUCCCUAACGGGAGAUCGCGCGCCGGAUUUCGGGGCGCGGGAUGCGAUUCGCGGGUAGGUCGCGCAGACCCGGCGGGCGACCGUCGGGCCAGAUGGAUGACGGCGGCUCCGAAAGGGGUACGGAACCCGGCUUAUAGGCCCGCCUUUUUC